AGUCUCCCCGAUCUCUCCGGAAGGGAGCACGAUGAUCGUGGCAAAUUUUUGAUUAUCGUGCUCACCUUAGAUUCUGUCAGGGAGACUCCGUUCCACUAUUUCGGCGGUGUCAACCCUAUAGAGCCUUUUUUUGGCUGCUAUUUUAGGUCUGCGUGCAUUUUUUCGAUGAUCCGAGGCUGUUCCGAUGCCUCCAAAGGUGAGCACGGUGAUUGUUGGUCAGUGUUGAUCACAGUGCUCACCGUACUUUGGAUCAACAAAGUCCGGUUAGUUCUGUUCGGUGCGAUUUUCCCUGGCUGUGCACUGUUCGUACAACUUCGGAUUGCUCCCGCGCUUCCCACAGCGAGCCGUUGUGCUCCGGAUCAUGAGCACGGCCUACGGUAUGUCGAGACCAAGCAGUACGUGUCUUGGCGGACCUUAAAAGUUCUCGGUUUGCGUGAACGAGCCAUUUAAUCGUCCGAUUUACAUAAAAUGAUAGGAUUUUAUGUAAAUUGAGGGGCUUUUAUGCAAUUGUGCAUUAUGUGGUUACUGUGGGCAGUGCAUUUGUGUGUGUGGACCUCUGGACUGAUUGUCCAUGAUCCGAUAGCCUUCGCAGAAAUCGAGGAGUCGAUUUUGGUGCGUUUUUCGGCAAAAUUCACCGAAAGAAUGCGGUUUCAGUUCGCAUUUCUUCCGACGUGGUUUGUUUAUCCUGUAAAUUGUCGCUGAGCCUUGUUGGCUGGUCACCAUCAUCAUUUUGUGGGUUCGGUGAUGAUGGGUGAGCGACGAUGGGUUCCGGUGUCGAAAUAGACGCUUCCGGGAACCCGUAUUCGUACAAUUAUCCGACGAUAAUUGUGUAGCGGUGUUAUCUUGUGUUUGCUGCCAAGACAUCUAAACAGGAGUGUUUUGUGGCAGCGGAUGACUUGUGAUAUGAGUCUGUGAGUUUCGGCACACAUUGUGGGUCCCGACGGCGUCCCGGUACGAUUUUCGGGACUUUCGGUGAGUUACGGUGAUCGGUUUUGGAAACCGAUUACAGGGAUCUAUGUGGGGUUUGUGAGUCUCGUGCUUUGGAUUAGUGGGUUGGAUACUGACCCGGUGGACCUUUGUAGGUCCGGUCAACUUGUGUGCAUCCAGGUUUUUCGACGCUUUUGUGACAGGUGGGUGCUUCGAGCUGGUAGUCAAUGAGAUCAUUUCACCUUCCUCUGUUCUUUCAUUCAGUAUUGUAGUCUCUACAUGUCAGCUGUUUGCUUAUCAUUCGUACAUCGUAUCCCUUUGAUUGCAUUUGGAUAGUUAUGGAUAGACAUGUAGAGCAGGCUUAUAUUUGUAUAUCGCAUCUCUGUGGACCUUGGGACCAGGCAACACAUCGACUCUCUUAUCAUGUGUUUCGAUCUGGUUGAUCGUGGUUCGGCGUUGUACGCCCUAGUAUCUAUUAUGGUUUGGCGUUGUACGCCUAUGUUGUUGGCUUCGGCCUAGGCACCGGCUUCAGCCGGUUUUUGUUUGAGCAUACCAGCAUGACUUAGUCACAACACUUGGGAGUAUUCAUGACACCGGAUCGGUUUGGCCACCGAUCGGAGGCGUACGUAUUCGGAUGGGUCGUCCUGUGGGGGGGAUAGAUCGGGUCGGUGCAGAUAGUGACAGAUAGCGCUUGAGGUCUACGGACCAAUAUAGCAGGCACAGAUUAGGUACAGUUUCUGGUUUAUUACAUUGAGGCAUACUUGCAUUGUUUCUAUAUAGUAGCAAUUUUAGUUCUUGCUUCUUAAUAUACCUGUUAAGCCUACUGUAGUUCCUUUUCGCAUCAGCAGUAUAUUAUAUAUUAUAUAUAUAUUAUUAUAAUAUAUAUAAUAUAUAUAUAUAUAUAUAUAUAUAUUCAUAUAUAUAUAUAUAAUAUAUAUAUAUCUUGUUUCUCUAUCUCUUUUGGUUCAGGUGAUUACGGCUUGCCAUUCAUGAGCUCUGUCGACCACUGCGAAACCAUGGUUGCGGAUUUCUCACCCCCCAUUUCUCAGGUGAUUCGGGCUUGGUGUUGGUGUGGGAGGCGCGACUGACGAGGACGAUCUAGCUAGUCGGUAUAACGACGUCACCCUGGUUACUUUCAUUGCACUUCGUGUUUUAAUAAUAAUGCGUUCAGUUUUAGAAACGAUUCAUACUUGAUAUUUGAAUGUGUGAGCUAUGAAUGCCGUUUCCAUUGCAUGUAACUGGGCUUUAUGGAUUUGUGGAUUUUGGUUUAUGGAAUCUUCAGUUAGGACGUAUCAUGUACUUGUGGUUCUCGGAUUUGUAUUUAUGAAUUUACAAAUCGCGGUUCUUCUACCUCUUUGAUGGUUAGUAGAUUUCAAAAUAGAGUUCCGUGUAGGAGAAACAGUUUUCGAAUAGAACUUUUGCGAACCAAGAGUGAAUGAUUGAAUUAGAUUUAAAAACAAAGCUUCCGGGUGGGGAAAGCACUUAUAAAAUAGGUUGUGUGUUGAUAUCGUUAUUGCAUUGCAUCAUUCACGCCUAAGGAGUCUUUAGGAGGCAUGAUCAUCUCUACAGGAAUGUUAGUUGUAUUGAAAAGCAUUAUCAUGAAUGGUGGUUGAUUGGUAUAUAUAGGUGUGAUUAGAUCCUGUUGUAUCGGGGUACGACGUGCAAAGGACCAAAGGAGAUUCUGUCCGAAGUGGACAGAGGAACUUUGUAUUUGCGCGGUUCUUGCGUCUUGUGCGGCCAGGUUCCGAGAAAAAAAAAAUGGCACAUCUUCCGUCUACUUCUAAUAUUCCAAAUAGUAAUGGAUUUAAAAAGGCUUUUAAAACUGGCCCCAGGGCGCUGACGAUUUUUUGUCACGCCCGAGCCGCCGAUCCUCUGUUGGCCGGUUCCGACGCCGUCAAACAGACGCCGACAUGCGACAGAGUCUUCCCCAUCAUGUAUGCCUAAGCUCAACAUCCGUGUACAAUGAGUAUGAAUUUUUGCACAACCGGAAGAUACGCAAUGGCAUUUGCACCGAGGGCAAGCGAUACGCAAUAGUGAAAGUAAUAAACUACACUUCAGGAAAUCAUUUACAUUUUUGCCAUCAUUUACUUCUCUUUACAUUCACAUGAAUUAAAAUAUAAGUUCAUGCAUGAAAUAUUAAAAUAUCUUUUACAUCAUUCUUGUUCUUUCUUAACAUCUAUAGUCAUUCAACAUACGAAAAAGCGUCACGCAAUGUUAUAAUGGUAAUGCCAACUACAAAUGGACCCACUCGGGAGUCUUAUCUCGGGCGCGAUUACCAAUACCACGGUCGUUUCCACCGGGCUCGCUCAGGGUCCCGGCUCUGUAGAAAGUGGGGGUGCGAAAAUAUAACAACAGUUCCCAGUUAGGUUUCGGCAAUCGACCACGCCGACUUUCUCCCAACUAGGUCUAAAUCAGUGCAUAAUAGAGAAUAGAUAGAUAGUAACAAGUUUAAAGAAUGCCAGCCUAAUAUGCUGACAAUUAUAAUAAUGCUAUGCUCAAUAAAGUAGUCAUGAUGAAUGCAAGUCAGCUGCUCAGAAACCCAAUCUCUAGCUAGCCGUAGGUUUCGCCCCACAAUAAAUCACCCGACUCAAAUUCCAGUAUCGGGGGAACUACUACACCCAACGAAGCACCGUCCUCUGGCGGAGCCUACUACCCCAGUGGACAACAACUCCGCAGCACAUCGCCCGUGGGGGAGGCUUACCACCCUCGAGUAAGCGACUUACACGCGUGAGUAUGAAUCCAAUCCUUAAACUAUAAGGCAUGUCGACUCAAUCCCAUUCUUAAUUAUAAGCAAGCAUGCAACUAUGACCUUAACUCUAAGUUGAAAUUGCCAUAACUGUCACUAUCACAUUUUACUUCAUUCUUUUACUUUCACUAUGUCAGUAUACAACUACUAUGUUCUGCUACACAUGCCACAUUGUUUCUUAAGUGUCAUCUUCUAGCAUUGUCGACUCAUCAAAUGUCACUUCUACCUUCGUAUGUCAGAUGUCAAUUUGUUUAUUAAUUCCACUAAGUUCUUGUCACUUGUCAUGCCAUAAAUAGAGAUUUAUAAAAUUCUCACAUUUCUUGCUAGUAACUUACAUGAUUUGUACUCACAAAUGCAAUAAAUUGCUCAAAUAUAUUUCCAUACUAUGCAAAAUUUAACAGGAAGGACGUACGAGGUUACUCAAUACACAUAUGCUCAAAAUAACCUUUAGACAUAAAGAAAUUCCGGGGUCCUCAGAUUGCCCCACCCACCUUGCAUGGUUGCAAAAGUACUACGGUAAAUUUCUUGAAAUUUUUGAGCUCGUCAUUUUUUCCGCCUGCGGUAAAACGAAGCAAAUUAGGCUUUUUUCUCAAUAACUUAUCUAGACCUUUUUCGUAACGUCAGACGAGUUGUCCCAGCGUCGGAAAUACCCGCUAAUUAGCGUUCGUAUUAAGGUCACAUUUGCCUGAAAAAUUCGGAGGCAAAAGCCCCAAAUUGGCAUAUGGUGCUUAACAAUGCACUUAUCAAUUUCUUGGGAUUAAAUCUUGUAGCAAGCCAAAAUUAAAACUUAGAACACCAAGAAGCUCUCUAAUACUAUUUCAAGACCUUUGAACCAUUCCUAGGGCAUAAAAACUCAACCCUAGGUUUUUGUACCAUGAAGAGCACAAUGGUAUAAACCUUGUUUCCAUGUGUUUCUAAGGCCAUUAGAGGCUUUCAUAUUCAGCUAAAAGUAUCAAAACCUAAAGGCUUCUAGGGCGUAAAUAUCAGCCCUUAAGCCCUAAUCUUACAAAAAUGCCUCACCUUAGGCCAAAGCAUCUCCAACGUGUCACCUUGGAGAGAGAGCCCGAGUCAUUCAAUCUUCCCAAAAUCACCUCCCAAGCCUUGUCUACUUCUUCUCCUUCUGCCCCUCUUUAGAGAGGUUUCUAGAGAGACAAAACGGAAAAUAAGAGGCGGAGCGAGAAUGGUUGUGGGGAGAGAGAGAAGAGUUAGGGUUGGUAUUAACAUGUUGUAACAAUUGAACACAACCCCCCAUUCUUCUAUUUUGCAGACAGACCAAUUUGGGUAAUGCCAGUCCAAAGUGCCACCGGGUACACUGGAUUUUGUACUGUACACAAUUACGCAGGAGGCCAACCCGAAGCCAAGCCUCCUCGGAUUUACCAAAGUGUACCGGUACACACUAGGGGAUGUACCGCGUACCUACAUUCAUCUUACGAAAAAUCCAAACCUGAAACGCCUACUCUUCUCACGAGGCUGCUGGGUUUGUACGGUUACAACUCGCAGGUUCGUACCGGUACGACUUUUCCCAAUUGGGUUUUGGCCCGUUUCGAUCUAUUUCGCGCCGAUCCGAUGCCAAAACCCCUUUUUAACACUUUAGAACUCAUUUUUAACCAUUCCAACCUGUUGGAAUGCUAAAAGGAAUUUGUCCAACUACUUUCUUUCGUAUUGUUCGCUUUUAAAUCCGCCGAGCAAUGGCUAAAACUUGCUUAAACACUCUCGGACUCGACUUUCACCCUCUCAACAUGUUGGUUAGGUUAAUUGCGACUCUGUCCAUCAUUAUUCUCUGCACUUUAAACCAAUUUGGCUAAAGUUCGAUAAUCGCUAUCGGGCCGUUUCAAUGACGUUACAUUCUCCACCCCUAUAAAUUAGUUUCACGUCGGCGUAAACUUAUUUAUUUGUAAACUUAAACUCAUACCUCAAUUCAGCUAUUAAAGAUGAGGGUAAUGCCUCCGCAUUGUGCUCUCGAGCUCCAGAUCUUCCAAUCGUCGUGCGUUGCUCCAAGGAUUUUAACAUACGAAAUUUUACGGUUCGUAGUUUUCUCACUUCUCUGCAUCGACGAAUAAAUGCCAAGAACUCCUCGUAAAGUCAUAUACUCUGAAGCUCGUAUCGGUUAUAAUACGAGAGAAUGUACGCUCGGGGUAUCGAAUAUAACUGCGGAGAUUCGAGUACAUGAAACACAUCGUGCACUGCGCAACGUCGGCGUAGUGCUAUCUUGUACGCCACCGCGCAACCCUCUUCCAACACGUCGAACGCGUCAGUUACCAGGCGACUUAGUGUUCCUCCGGCAGUCUAAACCGCCUAAUGCCACGCAUCGACCGAUACCUUUAGGAAGACGUAUCUGCAAGCGGCAAAACUCUAUAUCUUUCUCCGUUUGCGGGGGGGGGGACCCAUACUUUUUGCCGAGCAUUGUAGCCGAGUGGAGUCUUUGGCGGUGCAAGGCGAACUUUCUCUCCUCCUUCCGCACUACAUCGGGGCAAAGAGCCACUCUCUCGCCCACAUCGUCUCCAAUGAAUUGGAGAGCCGACACUUCCUUGCCAUACAAAGGUCUCGAAAUGGCGCCAUCGCGAUACUUUCUUGAUAACAUCUAUUGGUACGCGAAUUCAGCAACGGUAGAUGAUCGCGCUUAACCGCCCUUGUAAUCAGUACACACGCACAAGCAUAUCCUCAAGUAUUGUGUAUCUGUCCUCUCCGACUUGUGACCAAUCACUUUAAGAUUGAAAAUGCCGUGCUAAAGUCCGAAGCCGUGUGCCCAAUGCUCCUGUAGGCUCCUCAAAUGAGAUGUGAAUCCGAGUUCCCGAUCCGAUACAAUUGAUACCGGUAACACAUGAGGUCUCACAACCUCGUCGAAUAUAUAACUUGAGCCAACUUUGUCCCCCGACCAAAGUAAUUGAAUCGGUAACAAAUGCCGCCGACUCGUCUCAACGGCGUCUACUAUCACCCAAUUGCAUCAUGUCACACCUGAGAUCGGGGCAUCCGCGUCACAAGUCCAUCACGGAAUUGUCCAUUCUAAACCGGUAUAGUGGCUUUGUAAUUUCCGCCAGAAACCGCCGCUCCGUUUUUACAUUUCGCAAGUAAGACAUUGCGCAACAAACUCCCAUGUCUUUCUUCAUACCCGGCCACAAUAAUGCAAUUUCAAAUCUUUGGUACAUUCUUGGUGCGCGGGGGUGGAUACUAUAAGGGAGAUUGAUGGCGCUCUUGCUAAUCGCCUUCGCGGAUGUCUCGUUCUUAGUUACACACCAACAAUUUCGAAAUUGAAGUGUGCGCGGUCCAAUGCCAAAUCAAUCGAACUAACCACUCUACAACUUCCACCGUGCACCUUUUGGAAUACUCAUCGGACAGUUUGUCGCUCAUUUUAUUCUCGUCCAAUAAAGUCGGGUUGCACCACUAAACGCGGCAAGUGUAGCCGGCAAAUCCGGCGCUUACUACUCUAAAUCAAGCCGUUUGGCAUCUCUUUUUGUAAUAGAUGGUUGUGGGUUGUAAUUACGUUGCCGAAGCCAAUUUUUUCUCCAAUUUCCUACUAAGUGCAUCCGGCCACGACAUUGCCUUCCCGGGGUGGUAUAAAAUGGUAACAUCAGUAGUCUUUUCAAAAUCUAACCAACCGCCGUUGCUGGCAUAUUAGUCCUUUGGUGAAAAGUAAUUUGAAGUUUAUGUGAUUCCAGUAUUAGAUUCACAAUAUUCCCCGUAUAGUAAUAGCCUCCAUAGCCUUCUGUGCAAAUACCGCCGCUAGUCGCAGGUCGUGCGACAGGUAAUUCUUUUUAUAAGUCUUCAAUUGCGCGCCGAAGCAUACGCAUCACCGCCCAUUUUGCCACCAAGACACACCGGAGCAACCGACAUAGGAAGCCAUCAUUGUCAUACCACAAAGUGUCUCCCCGGCUCCGCAAUGCUAAGCACGGGGUCGUCGUCAACCUUCCUCACUCCUUAAAAGCUGCGAUCGCAAUCGUCGCUCCACACUAUUCACCGCUCCUUGGUGCGAUAAGCGCGCGAUGUGGGAGUGGUUAUUUUUGCGAACCCUCCACAAACUGCCGUAGUUAGCCCGCUAGCCCAGAAGACCUGCGGACCUCGAACACUCGAUCGGGGAGGCAAAUCUUUAAUUUGCCUCUACUUUCUUUCGGAUCCACCGGCCAGAUACCUCACCCGAAAUCACCGUGUCCUAGCAAGUGACCUCCGAUAGCCAAGCUCACAUAUUCGUCAACUUUGGCAUAAUAACUGCCUCCUUUCGAAGUAUUUCCAACUACGCGUCCUCAACGUGCUCCUUGUGUUCUUCCUCGCGUCGAGAAUAUUACCAAUACGUCGUUAAUGGAAGACCCACGCACCCACCGUCCAUCAGCGGACAGAAGACUCGAAUUCAUUAGUCCUAAAGACUGCGGGCAUUAUGUAAGCCAAACGGCAUAACCGUGAAAACUCGUAAUGCCAUACCGCGGUAGGUAUCGCUGUCUUGUGCACAUCCUUGGGCGUACUUAACCUGAUUGAUACCCCAUUGAGGUCAUAUUUGAAUACGACCCAUCGCCUUGCAAACUGAUCGAGAUAAAUUAUCAAUCCUUGGCAACAGGUACUUGUUCUUAACUGUCAUCUUGUUAACUCGCCGGUAAUUGGCUAUGCAGCAGUCGAAGUGUGCCAUCUUUCUUUUUGCACAAUACGGCACGAAGCUCCCCACCCCAGUCUGACACGCUCCACCGCUCACCAACCACGCCCUUUAUCGAGCAAGUCUUGCAACUGUGCCUUAUAAAGCUCUUUAGCAAUGCCGGUGCAUUCUGUACGGAGCUUUCGAAAUGGCACCGCCCCGGAAUCAAGAUCAAUAACAGAACUCGACUUCCCGGUCCGGUGGCAAUCCUGGUAACUCCGCGUGCGAAACACAUCUGAGAUACUCGCCAAUACAACGCGAAUGCCCCCAACUCCGCGCUGUGCUCUGUUUGAGCGGUCCACCUUGUCGCCAAAUAGGCUACACAAUCCACCUGUCAAUUAUUGUUCCUCGCUUCUCGCGCCUAAUACAUCGCCGGCCAAAGCGCCUGGCUUUUACAACAGCGGGUUCUAUACAGCUCUUUUGAUUAGCCACGUUAACGUGAUCACCUUACUUUCGCAAUCUUAUAACGGCAUAGUAUUUGAGAGCAAUUGAUCCCCAAAAUGUACGUCGAAGCCCCCACAGCUGGUUUAACACCAAUAGUUCGGAUCAACAUGAUCCAAUAUGCCUAUCUGUACCAGACAAUCCAAACAUCAUGUAUACAUGGAACGAAUGUCCAGGGUGUAAUUCACCGGUCCAAUAGUCCUCAAUAAGUGUGACCUCCUAUAUCAUGAGCUAGUGCGAAUGAUGCCGAUAUGCAUAAUGCAUGCCACCUGUGUCAAAAACGCUCAUAGCUCUGUGCCCUCUGAUCAGGAUAAUACUCUCCACGACAUCGUCGAGAACUCUCGUAUCGGUCCUUCCACCUGAGUGGCAAAAAUCCGCCACUCGGUUGCUCUCGCGAUGCUUCGGCUGACGCGAUGCAGAAGAGCGUCCAGUGACAUAGCCAGUGUAACUCCCGCCAGCUGUCUCGGUCGAAGAACUGAGCCGCCGUCGGUGCAGACGACGCCCAUCUCGGGCCACUCCGAGUAAUGGCGCCUGCGCAUUUGAAGCACUUACCUCGGCUUGCGGGCACAGCGAGUCGAUGUGCCGCCGCCAAAUCACGCAUCGGAGAGGCUUCCCGCUCCUUGCUUGCUGUCAGGGCAUACCGAGGGGGUUUCUUUGCACUUGGCCGGCCCCGGCACAGCCGCGCUCCGCUUCUGGCAUUGUCCUUUGCUCGGCUAGCGGACUCGCGCUCCUCAUGUUCGUGGGCAUAGCCAUGCUCGCCCCACAAGACCGCAUCAAAGACCUCAGCAAAGGUCGUAGCUUAAGGAUUUGCACAGCCCCUGAAUUACCGGGCCGACUCUCGCAAGAACCAAUCGGGCCCGGCCCGGUUCAUCAAGACAACCUUUGGACCAAUCGAUAAGGGUAGGAGAACUCCUGUCGUAUGUCCGCUACGAGCGAUUCUCCCAUGCCUCAACUUGCGAAAUUUUCUUGGCAAUUUCCGCUUUCACCGUGUCGGGGAAGUUAAUUGUUGCGAAUACGCCCUCUUGAAGCUCCAUCCCACAACAUAGCGGAGGAUCGGAAUCGAUUCACGCCUAACAUGCUUCCACCACACCUUCGCGCCUUCUUAGGCAAUGUGCUGGUGAGGUACACCAUGUCCUUCUCCGGAGGUCUACAAAGUCCUCAAAAAAGAGCGGUCUCCAUGGAGUCAAUCCAUGAUCCAUCCACCACUACCAGGUUCACGCUCUCCCUUCGAACGAUAGGUGGGUUGACUUGUUGAACUGUCGCAGAGCCUCUAACGCACGCUCACCGCUCCGGCAACAAUCAUCCGCCCCACUAUUCGGGUUCGUUGAGGCUCGCCCGAAUCGGCGGUAUCGGCGUAACUAGCACAGCUGCUGCGGCCACACGCCCUAGGCAGGGUCUGUUGCACCAUACAGGCGCACAGGGUGCACGGCCUCCACUGUGCCGCCGCCUGCUGUCGCUCUAGGUCUAGUGCCUUAGAGCCUUUGGAUCUGCUCCCUGUGUUGGCGUUAAACGGACUCCGCUUGCGCUGCCACACUACGCAAUAAGCGUGGCCAUUGCUCCCGAAGCUUCCCGUCGCAGCCGUGCUACGGGUUGCACCCCGGGAGCCGCACUUUGGCUCCUCGCCAUAGGACCGAUUCGGCGGUCGACCACGUGGCAUCUUAGGUCGUCACGAGGUGGCAUAUGCUUCCUGAAAGAAGCAAUUCACAUUAGUUACUCAUUACUAUACGAAAUUACCCAAUGUCGGCGCAAGAGAAUGUAAGCUGUAUUUAUUUUUCUUACACAAGCAUCAUGUCGUCUGGCGCCAAUCAGCAACACAAGGAAAAGAAAACAAAUAACAACUUAAUUUAGUCCCUCCCACCUUAGAGACAUGCUAACAAUACACCAAAUCAAUCUUUCGCGGUAUACUAUUGAUUCAACGGUCACUCACGUCUCCCUAGGUGCCUUAACGGUCUUUCCCCACCUAGAGGGUCUCUAUCGUCCCAUCCUCUAUGUCCUUUCACCUUUGUGGCUGUUUACGCUAAUGGAUACAUUAUAUCUUACGUCCUGGGGGGAGCCCCGAUCCUUUUUGGCGUCGGGCGGCCGCGGUGCGAAUAUAGCGCGAACGAGAGCAGAGUCUCCCGCUGUCCCCCCAAGGCUCACAUCCUAGACAAUAGAGUGAUGAAUUUUGACAAAACGGGAAGAUGACGCAAUGGCUUGCACGAGGGCAAGCGAUAUGCAAUAGUGAAGAUAAGUAAACUGACACUUAGAAGAAUCAUUACAUUUUGCAUCAUUUCUUCUCUUUUACAUCCAAUCGGAAUUAAAUAUAAGUUCUUCGUAGUUGCAAAUAUAAAAAUAUCUUUACAUCAUUCCUUGCUUCUUUGCUUACAUCUCUCACUCAUUCAAAUGGUGCGUGUAUAAAGAUUAUGAACUACAAAUGUGGAAAAACCUACGGGAAGUCUCUAUUAGGCCGAUGCUCUUACCGCGGUCGGCGUCGGCUCGCUCCGGAGUCAGGCUCCUGUGAGAAAUAGUUGGCGGAGAGAAUACAAAUUAAGGUCCAGGUGGGUUCGGCAACGGAUGACGCCGACUUUCCCACAGGAUCUAAAUCAGGCAAAUAGAAGUAAUAGUAGUAUACCAAGCUAAAGCAAGCAGCUAAUAUCGCCUGAACAAUAAAAUAAUGCUCAUGGCUCAUAAAGUACUCCAUGAUGAAUACAAGGUCACUGCUCAGAACCCAAAUCUCUAGGCUCAGCCGUAGGUUCGGGCCCACAUGACUCCCCCACUUCAAAUUCCGAGUAUCGGGGAAUACUACACCCGACAGGACCGUCCUCUGGGGGAGGGAGACUCACCGGAGUGAUAACAACUCCGGAGCACAUAGCCGAGAGGAGCUGACCACCCUCGAGUAACGGCCGAGCGACUCACACGGCAAGCGCGNNNNNNNNNNNNNNNNNNNNNNNNNNNNNNNNNNNNNNNNNNNNNNNNNNNNNNNNNNNNNNNNNNNNNNNNNNNNNNNNNNNNNNNNNNNNNNNNNNNNUACUAAUAAUGUUAGAAUAAGGAAGGUAAAAGAAUGUAGGGAUUCAUUUCCGGCUGAGUCCCAUGGCGAUAGAGACCAGAGCCACCAUCCCGCGAUUGAUACUACGAUGCGGGAGCGGAGCGCGGCGGCGCGGCGAGUGCACACUUGGACAUUGGUUAAAUCGGAUUGUAUUUGGAAGUUAAAUGUAAUAAGUAUUUGGGAUGUAAAAUGUAUGAAUGUGAAUGUAUGUAAUAACAUAGGAUGUGUUAUGUUGUUUGAUACCUUCCAUUAUGCAAUCUUUGAUUGAAAUGUGUUUCUGGUUGGAAUUUUGUACAUUAUAUUGAUUGCGACGCCUUGAAUGUACAGGGGAGACUCUGUCCGCGGUACAGAAAAAAUCCUGUCCGUUCGGCGGUCUGUUGCGGCGCCGCGACCCUGCCAAAUAGGCGGGCGGUCGCGGGGCGUGACAGGAAACUAGACACAUACGGUGUUCUAAUCUCACAAGAAGCCACACUAAAAACUCUUUAAUAGUAGAAUUAACUAACCAAGUAGAUAUAGUUAAUAGGAUUGUCGAUUCGUAAGCUCAAUCAUUGAAAACAAUUUAUGACUAUAUAUAAAAAGCUCUAUACUCAUAAGAGUAUAGUAGCCCUAGCAUAUAGUUAAAAAAAUCUUAAAGAGCAUCUCAACUAAAAAUUAGCGAGUUAUUUCUGUUUAAUUUCUUGGUGGUUUUGGAACAGGAUCAUGUAUGUGGCUUUUGUAGCGUGGGUCAUCAGUAUUUAUACUUGUGAAUUGGAGCGUAAGGAGGAAAAAAGUUCUCAUGGAAAGAGAGAGCUAGGGCUGGGAAAUUUAGAAAAAGGGCUCCGACUGAAUUUAUCUUGUGUAUAAGAGAUGUCAGAUAUAAUUCAUCUCUUGAUCGGCGAACCUUAUUUCACAUAUAUUUUUCAGUUUAUUUUUUCUCUGUUUUUUUGGUUUCUUUUCUUUUUUGGUUUCAAAGCGACGAAUUUAUGGCAAAAUUUCUUUGGAUGCUUCUAUUGUGAAAUUCCAUUUAUCGUACCAACCAUCCCUAGCGCAAGUGGCAAAGAGCUUUGUGGUUGGGACCCAAAGUCCCAAGUUUGAAUCUUACUUGAUUCACAUUUCCAACUAAGUUUAUUUUUAAAAGAAAUAAACAAAGCAUGUAGCAUGCUAUCUAUCUCUCAAAAAAAGAAAUUCCAUUUAUCAUUAAUGGGACAACUAUUGGAUUUAUAGUAAUUUAUGCAGGAGCAAUUUAUAGAUUAUCAAUAGUUAAUAAGUCAUCUCGUCAACUAUAAUAAUUGAUAUAUGAAAAGACUCGAGCUUUAAUUUUUAGCAUUACUUUGGAUUUGUUCUAUUGAAGGUUUUCUGUAAAACACUAUUAAUCUCCAUAAUUUCAAUCCAUAUGUCAUGCUCUCCUUAAGGUUUGCCGAUGAGACCUGCCUGCCAGAGUCUCUCAUUUUUUUGAUUUCUGCUCUACAAUCAUUUCGCUCUUUGAUCACUACUCCACAGUAUGCCCGCUCGCCUUCCCCGGCCGUAACGUCCUCUUUGGCUUUCUGCCUCCUUAAAUGCUACUUUUCAAUCAGUUUGCUCUUCGUUCGCUCCUCCGUAUUAUGCCCGUUCGCCUUUCUUGUAAAGUCGUUGCCUCUUCAGCUUUUCCACCUUAUUAAUUUCUACUCUCAUAAUAAAUGAUAAAGAAGAAGACAUAAAAAAUGAUAAGAGUGUUUUUUUUUUUUUUUUUUUUUUUUUUUUGAGAGAGAGAGAGAGAGAGAGAGAGAGAGAGAGAGAGAGGUAGCACGCUACCCGCUUUGUUUAUUUCAUUUAGAAAUAAAUUUAGCUUGAAAUGUGAAUCAACUAGGAUUCGAACUUGGAUCUCGGGUGCCAACCAUCAAGCCCUUUGCCACUUGCUUUAGGAACGGUCGGUAUAAGAGUAAAAUUGUUAAGAAUACUGAAUAACUUGUUAUAUUUCAUCAAUAAUCUAAACAUAAUAUAUAGGUUAUUGGCAAAUGGAUGUAUGGAAAUUGAGUCUUUAAUUACAAUUUAGGUACUUAGACUACAUUAUUACUUUAAAAUUUAUUCAUAUGUCUGUCAUAUUUUCCUUUCUACCUUCUCUUCAGUUUUUUUUGCAUUCUGUUGUAUUCAUAGUGCAUUUAAAUUUCUUUUCUUCUCAAAAAUUCGAACCCGAACCCGAACCCGAAAAUCAAAUUAAAACUUGUACCCGGAUCUGAACCCGGCGGGUUUUAAAAAUUUAUACUCAUAUCCAUACCCGACCAAAAACCCGAAACCCGAAUCCGGAUCCGAACCCGGCGAGUUUUAAAAAUCCAUACCGUUGAAUAAAGAUCUAAGGGAUAAAAAUUAUUAAAUAUUUUAUAUAUUAUAUAAAUAAAUAAAAAUAAAUUAUAUAUAUAUAUAUAUAUAUAUAUAUAUAUAUAUAUAUAUAUAUAUAUAUAUAUAUAUAUAAUUUAUUCGGGUUUGGGUUCGGGUUCGGGUCUAGUAAAUACAAAAUCCAUAACCGUAUCCAUAUUUGUCAAGUUUUUAUUUUCUAUACCCAUAAUAGAAUUCAUACCUGUUUAGCUCAGGUAAAUCCGUCCUGUUCGGAUUCAGGUUGGGAUAAUUUUCGGGUAUCCGUACCCAUUGACAUCCGUAUCUAAAACACAAUAGAAUUAAUCGCAUACAUCCUAACAUUAUUUUUAUUCCAUGUUCUAGAACAACUGUUUAGCUCCAUUUUUAUUCUUCCACUUGAAUUCUAUUACUGUAGAAAACGAAAACGAAACGAUUAACCUAGAAUAACACACCAGACCAUUUUUUUAGGACCAAUGGGUUAAAAUUAUUAAAACCUCAGAUAUUAUAUAGUAAAGGGAAAUUAACAGGAAGGACAUCAUUUUAUAGACAUGAGAGAGAACAACCAAUCUCUUGCUUAGAAGGAGAUAAAGUCGUUUUAGGAUUAAUUGAUAAAGAUUCAGAAGAACAAGUAUUCAAACAAAAUUUAGACUUAAUGCAUUUGGGAUUAAUUGUGAUAGGCAUAAACAGAACCUACGCGCGUACACCGGCACCAUUAGGAUUAACAAAAAUGGAUAUGAAUCACAACAGAGGCAUAUUUUAUUUUAUUUUUUUUUUGAGAGAUAGGUAGCACGCUACCCGCUUCGUUUAUUUCAUUUAGAAAUAUACUUAGCUGGAAAUGUGAAUCAACUAGGAUUCGAACUUGGGUCUCGGGUACCAACCACCAAACCCUUUGCCACUUAGCUGGAAAUGUGAGGCAUAUUUUAUUGUAGUCCAGAUUUUCUUAUGCAAACUGAGAAAUUUGCAAAACAUGUAAAAUUAGUAGAAAUUCAGACAAAAAUGUGGUUGGUACAAACCUAAUGAUAUGUGUUGGUUAAUUAUGUAGGAUUAUUAACAGAAACAAGCCGAACAAAUUUUAAAUUAAAAUAUUGACGGCGUAGUAGGAUUUAGAUUUACCUACUAACGAAUCAUCGUCUAAUCUAAACCUACCAAUAAAUAAUGAACUAAAUUUAGUUUAUUUAGAUUCUAAUUUAGUUAAUUUAGAGUCUAAUUUUAUAAAUAGUGAAGAAGGUGAAGAAGACGAAGAAGAAGACGACUUAAGUCCAGAAGAAGAACAAAUGUUAACUGAAUAGAUAAGACAAAAGAGGAAAGAAAGAGCAGAAAGGGAUAACGAAUUUGGGGCCCAAAUCAAUACAAAUCUUUCUUUUCUUUUAAUGAUCUAGAAAUUAUUAACAAAUUUUUAGACAAAUUGGAAGUAGUAGUUGAUAAUAAUCGAAUUUUUAGACAAUUUGAACUAGUUGAUAAUAAUCCCAAGAAUCCAAAACCCAGUUUAGAAAUAAAACACUUGCUGAAAAACUAGGCCAGAGAUCUUUUGCACCAGCAGAAUCAGCAACCACAAUAACACCAUAUUCAUCAGGAAAUUAAUGUUCCGAGAAAACCAGUAUCUUAUGCAAUCGAUCAAGAAAUUUAUCCAUAUGGAAGAAAUGUAAAAUCCCGAGGAAAACGUUUGCCAUUAGAUAAACCUAUCAAAUUUCAAGACACAGGAUCAAGAAAAAUCCUCAAUAUAGUGGCCCAUGAUCCUCAUACUUGGAAUCUAGCCAUCACGGACACUGACACGAGACAUAAGACACGACACGACUCGAACACGAUGACUCGAUAGCUUUCAAAAAAUUAGGACACGGACACGGCAUGAACGCCGCUAAUAAAAUAUAAUAUUAUUAAAAUAAUAAUAUAUAUUUAUUAUGUAUAAAAUAUUAAUUUUGAUAAAAUAUUAUUAUAUUUCUCAUUCGAAUGGAAGUUAAUAAAAUUUUUAUUAAUAAUUCAUAUAUUUUAAGAAAAAAAUUCUGCACCAUAUAUAUAUUCUCAAAAAAAUUAUAUGCAUUCAUCAAAAAGCUAAAAUAUUUAUCAUCUUAUAUUUAUAACGCAUAAAAAAAAGUAAAAUAAAAAAUAUGUAUAUCUUUUUUUUUUUAUUUGCGUUAUAAAUCGGCAUUAAAUACGCGUCCAAGGAGUGUCCACAUAGGACACGUGUCCGACAUGGAUACAUGAGUGUUCGACACGGACACACUAGGCUAAUAGAAGUGUCCGUGAUACACAGCUUGGAAUACUAUUAUACAUGUAUGGAAAGGGUUAGUACGAGCCCAUUACAUUCGAAAUAUUUCUAGGGAUAAUGCAGAAGAAAUGUAUUGAUACCCAGAGACAUUUUUGGGAGAAUCAGUGAAAGGACUCUGGGAACAAAUUAAAACUAACUACCCAACUGAUUUUCAAGAACUAAAACUAAUCCAUAUAUUUUGUUAAUAAACUACACUCUUUGGUUACUGGCCAAGAGCUGCAUUCUAGUCAUAUAGGAUUACAAAAGGAUGCAUUAAUAAAAUUAGAACAAUUACCGACUGUCCCUAGAGCAAGUGGCAAAAGGCUUGGUGGUUGGUACCUGAGACUCAAGUUUGAAUCCUAGUUGAUUCACAUUUCCAGCUAAGUUUAUUUCUAAAUGAAAUAAACGAAGCAGGUAGCAUGCUACCUAUCUCUCAAAAAAAGAAAAAAGAAAAAAAGAACAAUUAAGUAUUGACAAUUAGAUAUAUAUUAAAAGUUCUUCAAUGAUUACUUUUGUUACUCUAGUAUUAGUGGAAAUUCUUCAAGUAAUGAGCUCGGAGACAAGUUAUUUAAUAAAUUACCUGGAGCAUUAGGAAGGGAAAUCACAAGAAGAUGGGAAGAACUACUGGUUGUAAAAGGUAGUCCCAAGACAGGUUGGUCUAUAGGACAUAGGAUUCAAUUUAUUAUCACUAUUUUACAAGAAAAGUGUACUAAUAUCCUAUUUUAAUCCCGUGUUUUGAAAUUUACUAGGUUUCUCUAAUGACAAACGUUUUCCUCGGGAUUUUACAUUUCUUCCAUAUGGAUAAAUUUCUUGUUUGGUUGCAUAAGAUACUGGUUUUCUUGGAAUUAACAUUUCCUGUGAGCCUAGAAAACGUUUUACGCAUAAUCUGUCGUUUCUCUGGAAUAUCUUUGAAUGGGCCUCCGGCUUCAGGAUCAAUAUGAGGAAAUCGGAACUAUACUACCUGGGAUCCAACCCUCGUAAAGUUGUUAGACCUGCCAACAUCUUACAAUGCAAAGUUGGUAAGCUACCUUUUCGCUACCUGGGACUACCCCUCCACAACUCGAAACUUCGAAAGGAGCACUGGUCUGUGGUUAUCAACCGCAUAGAGGCCAAAAUCGACAGCUAGAAAGCUAAACUACUCUCCCUAGGGGGUGGACUAACCCUGGUCAAUUCGGUACUCACCAACCUACCACUUUUCUAUUUCUCGAUCUUCAAAGCACCACAAUAGGUAUUGCACCGGAUAGAAGGCCUCAGAAGAGCUUCCUUCUGGAAAAGAUGCUCAAAAGUUACCUGUGGGGCAUGUCUCGUCAAUUGGAAAUCUAUCUGUAGAAGCAAGAGAGGAGGAUUACGGAUUCUUGACAUGGAAUGCAUGAAUUCGGCUCUUUUAACCAAAUGGUGGUGGCGAUACUUUUCUGACCCAAACCUACUCUGGUGCAGAUUAGCCAGAUCCCUCUACUACACCAGAAGAAGGCCAUUACUUGACGGCAGAGCAUUUGCUCCCUAUUUGCAGUGGUGGACAGGUGUGGUCCGGUGUCGAGACAUGUUCGCCUGUGGCGUGACUUACGAGCUAGGUGACGGAAGGAACAUUAGGAUGUGGAACGACAUCUGGAUAGGGGAAACCUCCCUUCGUACUCGUUUUUCGGAUAUCUACCAGAUCUCUAUGAACAAGGAGGCUCGUGUUUCCCAGUGCUGGAAUCAUGGCGGAUGGAGAUUGUGUUUUAUAUGCCGCGGCUACUCGGCGUCACGACCCAUCGAAAACCGUAGACAGCUAACGACGUUUAAAGACUUGCUCCGAGGCCAUCGCCCCUGCGACAGUCCAAACUCAAUUUAAUGGAGGUGGACCAAUCAACUAUUCUGUCACGCCCCGGGUUACACAUUUCCCCGAGCACGCCAACAGACCCGCCGUAUACGAAGAAAUUUUUUCUGUAUACGAAGCGAAGCUGUACUGAAACUGUAAUCAAACAACACUACAACCAGUAGUAUAGAGCUGCUAGAAAGAAAAAGAACAAGAAAAACAAAAGCGAGUUCCAUAUACAUACAUAAAAUCCAGGUACAAAAAGGACUCGCCCCAACAAGUCAUAACAUCUGUAUGUACAUGAACUCAACAGAAGUAAAUCUACCUGCAGCAGGGAUCCUCUAUCUCAGCAACUCGUCGGGUAGGGCUCUAGCUCGCAACGCUCUUGUCACGAUCAGUCCCAGAAGAUGCAAUAGCCGGAACCGAUGGCUCUGCAAAAGAAGGGUAACAACUGGGCGUAAGAACUAUUGUAAAACAAGUAGUCCUCAGUGGGUGCCGCCCUCAACAUCAUCGGACCACCCACUAAGUCUACAGAAGGAAGUAAAGAUAAUAGGGAAAGCUGGAAGACAAUCUACAGCUACAUGCCACUACACUAUCAUGCUCUACACUAACCAACUGUAGUAAAAGUAAAUCCUGACCCAAUCUCAUCAGGGACUGUGAUACACCCGUCCCGCCUAUCGAAGCUAUACUAACAAACACCACGAUAGGUAGUUAGUGGAGAGCAAGUCCAACUAGGACACAAUGACACCAACGCAAAAGCACAAAGCACGACUCCGGAGUGGCACUCGUGGGAGCUACCCAACCGAGUAUGCAAGCGUAUCUCUGUCUAGCUCAAUCAGGCUCUCAUAGGCUAUAGUCAAGUACACAGGGUCAAAUUGAUCAACCAACAUGUCACGUGCCCUCAGCACAAUCUGAUGCUAAAAUGGCAAACCUGGUCCACCGUCCGUCCCGACGGCACCCAACAGUCCAGAACAAUCUGAACUCUACUGUAAAAAUAGGCUCGACAUCCCAGCACGAGCGUAACAGUAAACUACACUACCUAGGGUAUCCACCACACUAAUACUGCGACGAUACAAAAAUCAUAAUGGCUCCUAGAGCUAAAUCUAGUAGUGUAAACAGGUGACAGAUCCAUAACACUGAUUUUCUCCUAUGUCAUAUCCAAGUCCAACAUGUAUACUUUAUCCAUAAUAAAACUAAGCUCCAAAUUCAGUUUAGAUGUCAACAACAUGAAAGAUCAUGAAUUCGAGCUAUUUACACGUGAAAUGCAUCCACCAAAUAUACAUGCCGACAACGAGACAUUAGGAAUAGAAUUCGAUGAUAAACCUACCUCGAAACGCUAAACCGGCACCGGCGCGACGUCGAAACGGUGGAAUCACAUGCUCGCUCGGCCUCCCAACGCAGCCACCACAACGCUCGUGUGCUCUAACAGUUCCGCGGCGCGACGUCGGCGUCAACCCAAGCUCCACGGCAACUCCACCGGAGCUCCACACGAUCGGACCAAGCUAGAGAGAGAGAGAUGAAGAAGCAAUAAAAAUCUAUCUCUCUAACCCUUUACAUACAUAUAAGCGGUGGAGAGGAGUGGGUGACACAAACGAGGUGAGAAAUGACUCAUUUGCCCUCUCACCUAUCCCCAUGUAGCGGUACAAGGCACCUGUACCGGUACAGAUGGCAACCCGAGAGCAGCUGCUGGCCAAUCGGGCGAAGUGUACCGGUAUACCUUCGAUGCUGUACCGGUACAGAAAGUGUACCGGUACAACCCUGAUGUUGUACUGGUACAACAAGCAGAAAAUCUGCAAAUUCGCAGAUUCCACUGCUAACUCCUGCUCUUGCGUCUCCGCUGAGUCCGUUUUGCGUCUAUUUCGUGCCAACGAGACUCGGACUUGUCCCGACACCCUCACGGCGUGUCGACAAGCCUCAAAAAGCUGAACACCAGGGAUACUACAUAUUCACUGUCAAAUCCCUCUACCAGUUCAUCACAGAUGCGGGACAGCGUGUCCCAACGAACCGGUAUAUCUAGAAACUGAAAAUUCUGACCAAAAUCAAAGUCUUCAUUUGGUUGCUGCUACGGAAGAGUUUACUCACUGUUGAUAGACUACUCAAACGCGGAAUGCUCAUUGAUCAGCACUGUGUCUUCUUUGCGGUACUCACGGAAAGCUGUGACCAUCUAUUCUGUACAUGCGUAUAUGUAAGAUACCUGCUCCUCAGUAUGGAAGGAUGGGGUACAAUUGAUGACAGCACGGGCGACGUCAACACUCUCUGGACUGGAUCGUGCGACAUCCCGGUUGACUCUUCGAGAACACAAGGCUUGACCCUCUUGGCUGCGACUUGGUAGGUGAUCUGGACAGAUAGAAACAACGCAAUUUUCCGAGGAACCAUGCACAACGCUACCCGGUCUCUUGAACGUAUCAAACUUCUGCUAAACGAUUGGAACUCACUAUUGUGAUGUGCUGUUUGGGCUUCAGCUACUAUCCCUCCUCUCCCUACUAACACCCCUCUUUUCGUUUUUCUCUUUGUUUUCUUUUUACCUUUCAUUUUUACUUCAUUCUUUUUUGCCUGUUUUUUCGGAGGCCCUGGCUGCUUCCAUAUUAUACGCUUAAUUCAUUUUGCUUAAUAAAUGAAGCUGGUAGCUUGCUACCUAUUUCUCAAAAAAAACAUUUCUUGAUGAAUAUGGUUUAGGAGCUCUAGCUACAAUGUCAUGAAACGGUGUUCUUAUGGUUGUCGAUUCGGCUUGCGCAGAAGAUCCUUGGCCUUCUUCAGCAAGUGUUAUUUCUAAACUGUGUUUUGGAUUUUUGGGAUUAAUCUAUUUCGAUUUCGAUUCUACUAAAUUAAUUCACCUAAAUUUUACGAAUUUAGAAUGUACCAAAAGACUAUCACUAUAAGAAUCUAGAAUGUCGACAUGAGUGGCAUUUGGAAAUAGGAUUAGAUAGUAAUCCUUGCAAUAGAAUUCAAAAUGACCUUCAAAAUGACUUUUUGGACAUUUUGAAAUAAUUUAUAGCCUGUAUUAACUCAUUAAUAGAAUAUUUUCGAACCAUUAAAACCAACUGUUUUUUCUUCUUUGUCGUCUUUAGAGGACAUAAAAUAGGAGUUUUCCACACAUGGCUAGAAGUUGUAGAACAAACCCACAAUAUCCCUAAUCCUCGGUUUAAGAGCUUUACCACUCUUUUGGGAGCCCUACAUACAACGCGUCAUUUCUUUGGUCUAAUUUUUUUCAUUUCUCCAUCUAUCCGAAAAUCCCAAGAAAUACCUCCCUCCCAUAGUAUUGUUCAUAAUAAUAGCAAAAUAAUUUUUUGUAAUCAUUGCGAGACAUUGACAAGAACAGUAGUCCACAAACUCCAUUAGAGUAGUCAAGCAGUGAUAGAAGAAAAACAUACCUUACAACAUGAAAUCAAACAAUUAAAAGAAAGAUUAGCAAUCUUAAUCUUCGAGCUCAAUCUUCACAACAAAAAUAAAUAAAUAAAAAAAGUAAGGAGAAGAAAAAAAGGAAGAUGAAUUAGAAAGAAAAUAUUAGAAGAAAUUCCACAUUGAUUACAGCCCCUACUAGGAGUCAGAAUUAUCUCAGAAGACAUUCAACAACCACCAGCAAGAAGACAAAUACCAUCAUCUAGCAGUGACUCUACUGGACUCUCUUCUCUACUUCCUUCACCAGAAUGGACCGGCAAAGGCGCUAGAAUUUCUAAAUUUUAUAUAUAUAUAUAUAUAUAUAUAUAGAGAGAGUGNGGUCCGAAAAUUUCGGAUGUCAUUCCGGUAGAUCAAACAGUGAAAGUAGCAUCACUGUUGAGAGAACGGUCGAUUAGUGGCCAAGUUUGAGCACAUGGGCCUAGUAGUACCUCAAGGUGAGGUAGGCGGUUGUACUCGUGCGACCAGUGUGCAUAGGCAGGAUUGCCUAACACUGGACUUAGUGUGCAACGCUAUGGAGGCGUAUGACGUUUGAGUAGAGUUACUCAUGGAGUGCGAACUGGGUUCAGCCGAGUGAGUGAGUUGGCAGUAGCACUUGAGCAUUGCUAGGUGUGAAGCAUGCCAUGGAUCACUCGUGGGACAGGUGACUCGCAUUAGAUGCAUAGUAGCCGGUAGUGGUGCGUGUGGCUCGGUAGAGCGUGUCGUGCGAUUGAUAGUACACCGAGAGUACGAGUGUGACCCAACCCGGGAAUCUGUAACGGUUUGGGAUCUUAGUUGCUCCUUGUUGGAGUGUGUGCGAAUUCCCAAGUGAGAAUUUCGCCCGAUCAUGAUUGGGUCUGCAUUUGCGAGCGAGGGACGCUGUGUAUUGAGACAGGUUUAAGCUGUAGGCCUACGUAGGAUUGGUGGACUUUGGUCCACCUGUGGAGACCGACGAGAGCGAUUUGGCAGAUAGCCUUAUCGAAGGGUUUGACUCGAAUUCACGAACGAAGCGCUCGUGUGAGCUCAUUGCAAAAAUAGUUUGAUGUUAAUCGUGGCAUGUGGUAUCAGAUGAUGAAGUACUCAUUGUGAGACAUCAAACGAGUGGAAAGCCACGUGAUGUUGGAGAUUAUGCUCGUAAGCGAACUAAGACUUGAGAGGUGCCGAAGUGAGCCAUCUCACGUUAAAGUUAAUGGUCAGUGCGAAAUUAGAGCACUCAUAACGGAGCGAUACAUCGGUGAUAUUGCUCCUAAGCAAUGUCGGUGAUCGAAUCAGAAUGUAUUCCCUGAAGGGAAGGUAAGUGCAAAGAAGAGUUCUUUGUGUAUCGAAUGGUGAGUGGUGUUGGAGCGCGUAGAGUCGUCGAGUAUCGACUUGCGCUGCCACUAUGACUUGCAAGACCCGUGAUGCACUUUUGUAUCACACCUUGCAAAUGUGUUUAGGGUUAAACCCACGUCCUUCAGUAUGAGCCGCUUNUGAUCUGCACUAUUGAAAGUAUUUAGAAACUAAAUUUUAUAAUUUUUCGAUAUUAUUUACCUAUCAAACAAGUAGUCUAAAAUUGAACGACUGAAAAUAAAAAUCUCAUAAAAAAUGAUGAUAAAAGAUUUAAAUUCAAGAUCAGAUAUACUGAUCUUACUCUAAAUAGUGAAAAGAAUUUUCUAUAAAAUUUUCAUUGCAUUUGGAUUGUUUUACACCGUUAAACUUACAAACACACCACAUCGGCCAUUAAAAUUGUUAAUUUUGAGAUCUUUUGAUCACUAGUCAUAUGAUGUCGAAAAAAUUUAAAAUUUAGUUUCCAAAUACUUUCAAUAGUGUAGAUCAAGUUUAACGGAGCCGAUCAUCAAUUUGGAAGCCGCAUCAUCGAUAACAACUUGGUAGCACGGUGCGCUCCGUGCUACCGAUAGCAUAAUAGCCGGACUAUAUAUAUAUAUAUAUAUANNNNNNNNNNNNNNNNNNNNNNNNNNUNAGCAAAAAAAAUUUUUUGUUAUGAAAUUUUUAACUCUUGAAUGAAAAAUUGUAAGAUUAAGAUGAUAUUAGUCCUUUCUGGUUGAAUGAUCCCUACUGAAUUAUAAUAUAUAAUCCAAUGAAUAAAAAUAAUAAAAAUAAUUGAUCCAAAACUAAAAAUUUGAUAGUAAAAAUUAUUUUUUGCUAUCAAUAAUAUUCUAGCCCAUCUCUCUCUCUCUCUCUCUCUCUCUCUCUCUCUCUCUCUCUCUCUCUCUCUCUCGCUAUAGAGCUAGCUGGGGUUUCUGAGCUUGAUCAAAAGAAAAAAAUCAGAGCAUCUCCAGUCAACAUCAACAAGGCAUCAUCCACAGGCUCUAGUUAACAUCAAGGGAACAACACGUCAAUAUCAACACAGCCAUCUUCCGUACACCGAGCAUCUUUAAAAGCACUCUUCUGGCACCUUCAAUGCCCUUCCAUAUCCUUCUACGGCUCAAAAAAAGUAAAGACUUAUGUAUCGCAAGCUUUUCUAGCUAGCUGGCGAAUAUGUUUACAAAAAGACGAUUCGCACUAACAACUUCUACGAUCCUCCACCACCUGCAGACCAUCUACAAUAGGAAGCAUCAACUUUACAGCGUACUACGGGGCAUCUCCUUUUUACGACUCACUAGCUUCUAUACCCUUCUCCACCGCCUCAGUCCAUCUAUAAAUAGAAGGCAACUUCACGUACCAAAAAUGUGACAUCUCAGUAAUUUCAUAUCGAAUAAUGUGAGAAAGUUUGAUAGAUUUAUAAGUGACGAACACUUUAGUAAUAAUAAUCGGGUUUAAAUAUUUUGGGCCGCUGGUUUGGGUCCAACGAGUUAUUAUUGCUAGCAGUUUUGAUCGUUACUUUUGGUAUCAGAUCUUGAUAAUCAGCCGAAAGUGUGAGAUAGAUAUCACAUCGCUUGGUGAAUCUGGGACUGUGUAUGAUUGGGCCGGGCUUUCGCCUGGUGAAUCUGGGACUGUGUAUGAUUGGGCCGGGCUAAUGAACACGUCAAGGCCUAAACGAGGGGUCCCACAUUGAAUAAUAUGGGAGAAUGUGAUGGAUUUAUAAGUGAUGAACACACUAGUAAUAAGAGUAGUAGUUCAGUAUUUUCUCUCCUCUUCUUUCUUUUAUAGAACUCUUUUCUACCCAUCUUAUAAUUAUAAAAGCUCUUUCUACCCAUCUUAAAGAUAGUGUUUGAAUUGGGUACAAGAGAGGGGAUAAGAUGGUUAUCCCCCCUCUUGUACCCAAACACUAAUUUGGGUGGGUGGGAACACUUGUUCCCACCUACCCGGUACAACCGAGUAUAGGUGAGAACAGGGGUGGGAACAAUUUGUUCCCAUCCCCCGGGUAGAGAGAGAGAGAGAGAGAAAUUUUUGUUUUAAAUUUAAAUUUAAAUUUUUAAAAUUUAAAAUUUAUAAUUUUGAAAUUAAAAGUUUAAAUUUUAAAUUUGAUAUUUUUAAAUUGUAAAUUUUAAAUUUGAUAUUUUUAAUUUUUAAAUUUUAAAUUUGAUAUUUUAUUUCUUUCAAAUUUAAAUUUGGUCUUAAAUUUAAAAUUUGAUAUUUAAAAUUAAAAUUUUAAUUUUUAAUUUUAAAUUUUAAAAUUUAAAAGUUAAAAUUUAAAAUUAUAAGUUUCAAAUUUAAAAAUUUAAAUUCAAUUAUAUGGGUAAUAUCAUUAUUUUCUAUUUAUAACUACCAACUUGUAAUAUGCGGACUUUUGAUACUUGUGUAGGUGUGAGAAAGAGGGUGGAAAUGAGGUGAAACCGUUUUGGCGCGAAAUUGACGCGAAAACGGAUAAAUUGCGCCAAUAUUUCUUUAUGAGGGACCAUAUUACAAAUAGCAAAAUUACUGGAUUAAGUUGCAAAAUGGCUUGAUCUUAUCCUCUCUCCCUCUCUCUCUCCCUUUGAAGCUGCCAGAAAACAAGAGAAAAGAAAGAGAGAAAGAGAGAAGAAGAAGAAGAAGAAGAAGAUGAAGAUAACUUGGAGGCAAGGUAAAAAUUUCCAUUCUUCUCUUUCCCUUCCCUUCUUCUUCCCUUUCUUUUCCCUUCUUUCCUCUCUUCUCCUUUCCUUCUUCCUUUCCUUCUUCCUUUCCUUCUUUCCUCUUCUUCCCCUGCUGCUGCUGGUGCAGUUUUGCAACCUUGCUGCUGCUGCGAGGUACUGUAGCAGCAGCAGCAGCAGCUCAGCAGCAGCAGCAGCUCAGCAGCAGCAGCAGCAGAUUGCUGCUGCAGGCUGCCCAGUAGCAGCAACAAAUUGUUGCUACUGCAGAGGCAGCAAAAAAGAAAGAAAGAAAAGGAAAAGAGAAGAGGAAAAGAAGAAAUGAAAGGAAGAGGAAGAAUGAAAAAGAGAAAUCAAGAGAGAGAGAGAGAGAUGGAAAGAAAAGAAUAGAUAGAAUAACAUGAAUGAAGUGGAUGUAGAAAUUGGAUCGAGUGAUGCAAUUGCCAUGAUUCGCACCUCUAAUCUUCAAUUGAUGCACGCAGGGUGUUCGAGAGUGUGAAUUAGUGUGAUACACAUUUCCGAUGAGGCGCAAUGAGGUGCAAUUUAAGUAAUUUCGGAAAAUCGUGCGAAGGGUCGCGUGUAGCCUUUCUUUUAUCGGAGUCGACAUAGCGAGUCGAGGUGGGUUCCGAGUCGUCGAAAACGGCGAAUUUCCCCCUAUGUCUAUUUUGGUACAAGCUAUAUAAUAUUUGAAUUUGCGCAUCUAAUUUAUCUUUUUAUUGAUCCUCAGACCGUGAAAAAUUGAAGCAUGAUAGAGAUUUAGCAUUGACAUCUGAUUAUGCGCGGAAGUAUGUAUAUGCAUAUGCGUAUGGUGAUCCACCUUAUACUCACAUUUUUAUCCAAACACAAUUUUUCUAGUUCCAGCUUAUACUUACAUUUUUAUCCAAACAAAAAAAUGCCAUUUUUCUUACAAAAAUUCAUACUUAUACUUAUCCCCGAUAUAACUAGUUCUUAUUUAUAUCCAAACCAAACGAAGCCUACGAAUCUCUUGUAUAUAAUACCGUCUCCACCUCUUCGGGCUUCCUUAAAGGGAACCCUUUUAAUGCAUCUUAUAAUAUCCUAAGAAUCCUUUGUAUAUAAUACCGUCUCCACCUAUUCGGGUUUCCUUAAAGGGAACCCUUUUAAUGUAUCUACUAGUGAAGUUACCCACGCAUUGCAGCGGGCUGAUGCUAUAGAAGACAGAAGAUUCACAAAAUAAAAAUUUUAAAUUUUUUGAAUUGCCAUAAGACAUUAAUAAAUAAAGAUAAUAUAUAUUAACAUAUACAAAUAAAAGAGAUGAAACAGAUAUACGUACAAAUGUAACAAAAUUUCAGUAAAUGAAUUAUAAAAAAUAGUAAUGAAAGAAGCAGCAAUAGAAUUAUUACUCCAUACGUAUCUUGAUCACACUACCGACAUCGGGGAGACGAAUACCCAUCUCCACAUUACCUUUGCCACCAUUAUCAACGUCGAGCUCCUUUUUCGUCACUGCCACGUUGAUUCCCUACAGAUCUCUCCAAACGUACCACUUCUUUCCUCUCAUUGACUCCAAAUCUAUCUUCGCUUUUCCCCGCGAUGCUGCGCUACAAUCCACGAAACUCUAAUUUCAAUACACAUACAAUUUAAAAACAAAAAGAUAAAAAAAUAAAAAAAAUUACAAAAUAUGAACCAUUCUUAUGCGCCAAAAAAAUAAAAAAAAAAGAGUACGAAGAAAUCUUAUUUUACUUAUUUUCUUUUAUGAAAGCAAUUUGUAUAUAUGAAAUUGGACCAUAAAAAAAAUACAUCUCUUAUUUUUGUAACAGAGGACUAUUAGCGUGUAAGAGAGUCCACAAAGCGAGGGCAAAGCGAGAGCUUUGGUGACGUUCACGGGUACGCCUAGCCUCGCCCCUUCUCAUAUGGCCUCGCAGAGGCAUGUGACGCUCCGGCUUAGCACGUGAUCGAGCCCGGAGCAGCAACCCCGAUUCGGCACCGUUCGCCCCGCCCUCCACAAACUCCAAGCAUUCGCUGAACCCAAACAAUGCGCCCGAACAAUCAUGGCUCGACCCGAAUGGCGUUGAUGGGUUCGUACUCGCGUUCGAGAAUAAUAAUAAGAAUAAUAGAAUGAAGAGUUGGUUUGUAACAUAGGACAUUGUUGGAGUGUGGUAUUUGGUUUCGGAGAAUGAGGAGAUGAUGAUGAUGGGGUUUUAGUGGUGCUAAUUGUGUGGAUCAUCGUAAUUAUUAAAGUUAAUGAUGCGUUAGUAACUCCUUGGUGGGGAGAUGAAGAGUGUGGGUUUAAGAUCGUAAUUAUUAAAGUUAAUGAUGCGUUAAUAACUCCUUGGUGGGGAGAUGAAGAGUGUGGGUUGUGAUUAGAGAAGAGAGGAGAAGGUAAGGAUAAAGGAGGGACCGCCACGUGGCAAGACUUCAUGGAAAAUAAUGUAUAGGUAUAGAGGUAUAGAUAAUCAUGUAAGUCUCGAUGUACUUUUUAAUAUAUUAUUUUAUGUUUCUUUUGUUACGACAAACGCACAAAUGAAAACGAAAUUACGAAUACAAAAUAAACAAAUCACAAGUAGAAGCAAAAGAAAAACACACAGAUUUAUGUAAAAAAUUCUUUGCAGGAAAAAAUCACAGGCGAGGAAGAAGAGAACUUCACUAUAAAACGAAAAAAAGGGAAUACAAUAUUCAGAUAGUACAACCAACCACGAUCUCACGCCUUUAGGGCAAAAACAAAAAGGAAAACUCUUAACGAGUUUCGGAUCCGAUCCGUACCUUCACAAUUUUAUUUUUCUAUUUGGUCGCAUCGCGAAACUGUCGGCGAGUCGAAAAACUCGAACUUGAGUCGAUUAUCAAUUUUGAGUCACAUCUAACAUCUUUCAUCCAUGAUAUUUUUCUGGUUUCACCUAGAUCUAUCAGCCUAUCCGAACAUAGGUUAUGCUUAAGGUUUUUCCUUAAGAUGAAUAUUACAUCUUGAGCAAGUAUAAAGCAUAUACACUUGGCGAAUUUCAUAAGGGCUUGGGUGUCUGUUGAGGUCGUUCCGCCGUUGAGCUUAGACAUUAGGCCUUUGGACAAUUUCUUUCCCUGAAAACCGUACAUCAUGAGGGUCUUGUACACUAUCAGUCUGUCUCAAGUGGUAUUCAUCUAAGGCGAAGUCCAAAUAGUAUAGCCGGCCGUAGAAGCUUGGUCUUAGGUCUGGGGAGGACGGUCGGUCUACUAUCGAGCACAUAUUGCAUGAAAAAUAUAAUGAGAUGAAGAACCAAAAGAAAGAAAUUAAAUUAAAGAACCUUAGACUUAUAUCUCUAUAGGUACAAAAAGAAGGAAGUAUCGAUUAGGGAUAUUUUAAACCUAAUCUUCUAAAGCCUUUUACUCAUCAACCCCUAUUUCUGUUUCUUUUUUGCAUUUUAUUCUAGCCCUUUAUUUAUAUUAUAUACUAUUUGAACAAAUAUAUUAUCUACUUUAAUUUCAUUAUUAAUAUCUACUCUCUAUUUAAUAUAAAAAAAAUAGGUCAAGUAAACAAUCGCCACGUAUAUCUAACAGUAACUAUCCAAUACACAACCGACUUUCUCGAAUUUGUAGAACUAAUCGCAUACAUCCUUACACCAUAUUUAUUCCUUGUUGCAGAACUACUACUUAGCUCCAUUUUUAUUUUUCCACCUGAAUCUUAUUACGGUAGAAAAUGAAAACGAAGAAUAGGAUAAAUCUUAACUGAGCCAAGAUCAAACAGCUCGCAAGAGCACAGUACUUUAGAUGUGUUACCAUAUAUAUUACAUACCAUAUAUAUAUUAUAUAUGUUACCAUAUAUAAUAUAUAUAUAUAUAUAUUACCAUUUAUGUUAUAUAUAUUACUAUGUAUAUUACUUUCUUAUUAGGAUAAUAUUAUUUAUUUUUUUGUAUAACAGGAUAUAAUCCUGUACUUCCAUGUAAAGCUUUUCCUUUCUCUAUAUAAGAGAAUGGAUUUAGAUGAAUAAUAUACAGAAAAUUUCUCAAAUCUCUUGUUUCAGGUCUCACCCUCGGGCCCCCUCCUCUAUCGGUGGCUGAGAUCUCCGGCGACCUCCCCGUCGGUCGCCACUGUCCCCGCGCGCCGCCGCUGCCGCCUUGGCAGCUUGCGGCCAAGCCGAGCGGGCUCGGGCCAAGGUAGCCCUAACUCUUGGCCCUCGCGUUGCCGCCGCCUUGGGCCACCUAUGUUGCCCUCCUCCGGCCUCCGGCAACCUCUCACCGUUGUCCCGUUGCUCCUCGGCUGCCGCCUUGGCAGCUACGACUUGUUGAGCCCGAGCCGAGCCCGUGUGGGCUCGGGAUGCUCCAGCACCGCAGCCGCGACCCUCUGCCGCCGGCCGCCGUGAGCGCUGCCUCCCCUGGGUCGGUCGCACUCAUCCGCUGCCGGCUUAUCCCUCCGCCGGAGCUCCUUGUAGGCCAGAAUUGGCCCGUACCCUUCACGGGUUGUUGUGGCUAGGGCAUCAAUGUCCGUCGCCGACCGACGCGCGCCUCGGCCUCCCUCCGUCGCUCUCACCCUCCUUCCGCUGGUGCGCCCGCUGCCAAGCCGCUGCUGGCCAUGCCAUGGCCCCCCCAUUGCCCGGUGAGCUUUGUUUAGCUUAAUUGUGCACUGUUUGGGGUUGCCUCCACUGUUUCGAGAACCCGGGAUUGUUCCAAUGCCUCCGGAGGUGAGCACGGUGAUCGUUGGUCAGUUCUGAUCACAGUGCUCACCUCAUUUAGGGUUAACGAGCCCCGGAUGAGUGAAUUAGAAGUGUUUUAGUUUUAGUGCGCAGUGUUUGUUGAACUUCGAGCCGCUCCCGCGCCUCCCACAGUGGACGGCCAUGCUCCGAAGUAUGAGCACGACCUCCGGCACGUCGAGACCUGUCAGCGGAUGUCUCAGCUAGGCUCGAAUGUCCUCAGUUUGCGCUGUCAAUUCGUAAAACCCAAAAAAUCACAUAAAAUGAUGUGAUUUUAUGUAGUUGCAGGGGCUUAUGUGCAAAUUUANCCUGUGACCCGGUAAGCUUUUAUUUAGCUGGUUUGCACAGUACUUCGGGUUCGGGUUGCUGUUCCGGCGGCCUGAGGGCACCCCGAUGCUUUCAAAAGUGAGCACGAUGAUCCUUGAUCAGUGCCGAUCAUCGUGCUCAUCUCCUUUGGGGUCAGCAAGCCCCCGGUUUGCGAGUUAAGUGAGGUUUAGAUUCAGUGCGCGUAGUUCGCUGAAUUUUAUGUCGCUUCCACGCUCUCCAUAGUGGACGGUCAUGCUCCAAAUCGUGAGCACAGCCUCCGACAUGUCGAGACCUAUCAGCGUGUGUCUCGGCUAGCCUUGAAAAGCCUCAGUUUGCGCUGUCGAGCCGUAAAACCCCGAAAAUCACAUAAAAUGAUGUGAUUUUAGGUGGUCGCAGAGACUUUUAUGCAAAUUUACCCUUUGUGGCUCCUGUGGGCAGUGUGUGUGGGUAGCGGGUGACCUCUGGACUGGUUGUCCAAGGUCCUGGGCCUUUUCGGAAAUCGAAUGUUGACUUCCGGUGCGUUUUUCGGCGAAAUCUGCCGACGAAACGCGUUUUCGGUUUCGAUUUCUUCCGACGGUGCCUCACUAUAAAUUAUGUUGUCUCUGAGCCUUGUUGGCUGGUCACCCGCGUCGUUUUGAGGUUUCAAAAUGACGGGUGAACGACGGUGGGUUCUGGUGUCGAAAUUGAUACUUUCGGGAACUCAGAUCGGAACAAUUAUCCGAUGAUAAUCGUUUCAAUGUGAGGAGGUGUGUUUACUGCCAAGUCACACGAAUAAUAGUGUUUAGUGGUAGCGGGUGACUCGUAGCAUGAGUCGGUGUGUUUCGGGACAGUUCGUGGGUCCCGGCGGAGUCCCGGUGCGAGUUUCGGGACUUCCAGCGAGUUACGGCAAUCGGUUUUGGGAAAUCGAUUCCCGUGGGUUUAUUACUGGGGAUUGUGAUCUAGUGAUUCGUAUUUGUGGGUUGGAUUCUAACCCGGUGGACCCUUCGUAGGUCCGGUUGAUACUUCUUCCGCAGUUAGGAGACCUGUGCCAUAUACGUACAGGUGGGUACUUUGACCAGAAGUCGGUAUAGUGGUGCAUGCUCGGUGACAUUCUUUCUAUCCUUCUCUUACUAUUACCUUGCAUAUAUUAUGUUGAGCCUUGCACCCUUAUUAUUUCCUUAUAGCUCUACUUGGUUUUUACAUAUCUAGCAUCAUGAGUAGAAGUAGAGCUGGUUUAUGAUUACAUGUGAGCGGUUCUUGUAUCCCGUACUACGACCUAUUCGGUCAAUUCGUUGCAUCUAGCAUUAUGACCUACUUGGUUGGUUGGACUACUUGAUGACCUAUGCGGUUGGUGUACCCUAAGGGGUAAGAUUGUCGGCUAGAGGCUGACGGCUAGUUCUGAAUUAUACUGAUGCAUAGCUUGUCAUUUUUGUGACCUAUUGGUUGGUUCUUGUGCAUAUAUGUUAGUUGACUUUGAAUGGUCGGUACUUGCAUACCUUUGGGAGGACGUUGAGUUGUUCCAUCCUAAUUAACCUGAGUGAUCGGUACUUGUGUUCCUUACAGUUCGAUGACCUAUUGGUCGGUAUGACCCGAGGGGCGGUGAUUGUCAGCUAGCUGCCGACGGUUGGCUUUUGAGCAUAUUAGCAUCGAUCGCCACAUACUCGUUCGCAUUUCACGUACACCAGCAGUUUGGCCACCGCAAGAGGGUGUUCUUUUCUGAAAAAGUGGUCGUACAUCCGACCCGUGAACCCAGAGGCCUAGUCUGGGUUAUAUGCAACCUGUCAGUUUAGAGGCAUAGUCUGGGCGAUAUAUACAAGUAGAGUGGUAGUGGCACAGGCUUGAGGUCUGCGGACCGUCAUGCCAGGUUUCUGAUUGGAUAUUCUUGGGACUGAUCGUCCGGUUGAUGCAUACUUGUAUUUUGUUCUGUAUUACAGUAACGGCUAAUUAUAUUCCUAUAUACUGUUGUUUACUAAUGCAUCAUUGCUACUGUAGUCAUGAUAUCAAUGUAUGCAUUCUAUUCUAUUUUACAGUAGCGGUAGUUACAUGUUCUAUCACUAUUUUUCUUUUCUUCGGGCACUAUAGCUACUGUAUUUGUGAUAUUUACCUAUGAUUUUGAUGAUCUCUCUCUGCCGGUGAGUACUCCUCAUCUUCGUCGGCUUGUGGUACCCACUGGGAGGGGAGAGAUGUGUACAUGUUCUUACCCCGACCCUCCUUUCAGGUGACGUCGCAGGUCCGAGUGAGGACGGUUCGUGAGGUGCGUGCUUAGUGAUCGAUAGAGCUACCGACCCGUCAUUUUGGUUAAAUUUUCUGAGUUGACUUUUUAAAUAAUUAAUUUAGUAUUUAUGGUUCAGUUUGUUUUCACAUUAUUUGGAUAAAUAUGAUUUCGUGAAUGUAAUAAAGAACUUAUGAUUUUUUAUGAGAUGAAAACGAUUUUCUACCCCUCAUGGUAGCGUGUUUUAAAAGAAAAAGGUUUCCGUGUGUGAAACGGUUUUAAAAAGUUUACUUGGAUUCAAAUUUAAAUUCGAAUUCAAAUUCCGAUGUUGCAUUUAAUUUUUAAUUUUUAAUUUUAAAUUCAAAUUCACAUUUCAAAUUCUAAAUUCUAAUUUAAUUUCAAACUUCGAUUUGAAAUUUCAAAUUCAAAAUGUGAAUUUGAAUUUGAAGUUUGAAUUCAAAUUUAGAAUUGAAAUCAAAUCUUAAAUUAAAUUUAAAUUUUGAAUUCAAAUUUAAAAUUUAAAACCAAAAUUCUGAAUAUGAUUUUAAAUUUAAAUUGUUUCAAAACUUUCAUUUUAAAUGUAAAUUGAAAUAUCAAAAUCAAAAUCAAAAUUUUAAGUUUGAAUUCAAAAUUUAGAUUCAAUUUAAAAUUCAAAUUUAAAAUUUGAAUUGCAAUUCAAAACUUUAAUUCAGCUUUAAAUUCAAAUUUAAAAUUCUAAUUUUUCGUCAGUUUAAAAUUUUAAUUUUAAUAUUAUUUUUGAAUUUAAAUUUAAAAUUUUGUUUUUAGGGACUAAAGUGAAAAGGUGCAAAGUUUAGGGACCAAAAUUAACAUACAAAAGGAUGCCAAAUAGUUGCUGACAUAGCGAUUCCGUUAAUUUUAAACGUUUUUUUAACGGUUUGGACGUAAUUAUAAUAAAAUCAAUAGAUUAUGGACUCAAUUGCAAAAAAAAAAAAAAAGUUGGGCACCCAAGUGAAAAUUGGUGCAAAGGUUUGGGACCACUAGUGUAAUUAACCCGCAUUUAAAAACAUCUAGAAAUCAAAUUUUAUAAUUUUUGACAUUAUUUAUUUUACGAUCAAAAGAUCUCAAAAUUAAUAAUUUUUAACGGCCGAUAUGAGAUACUUGCUAGUUUAAUAGUGCAAAAAAAUCGAAAUCGGUUAAAUUUUUGAUAGAAAAUUCUAUCACUAUCUAGAUAAAAAUCAAUAUCUCUAAUCUUAAAUUGAAGAAUCCGAUCAUCCAUUUUUAGGACGCCGUUCGAUUUUGACCAUUCAUUUUAUGCCCGCUUGAUUGAUUUUAUUAUGACUUCAAAAAAUUACGAAAUUUAUUUUUUAGAAGUUUUAAAUACUCUAAAUCUUAUUUAACUGAGUGGAUCGUCGAAUCGAAAACUCUUCCAUCGAAAACAACUUAUGAGUACGAAGGGCUCUAUACUCAUAAGAGUAUAGUAGCCCUUCUCUCUCUCUCUCUCUGUACAUAUGUAUACAAAUCUAAUCUAUAUUUAAAUCUUAAUUUAUUUUCACCCUACCUUCUACUCCCCUAUCCUAUGUUAGUUCCUACACAUCCACUCUCCUACCCCUAUGUUAGGCCAAUUAUACGAUUAACGGCUAUAUUCGUCCUGUGCUAAGAAAUACUUUACUUCAAAAGGAAAAGGUACGUAUAGAAAAUUUAUUAGAACGAUUAAAGAACAUGGAGUGAGAAAGAUAUCAACAUUAUUUGUGAUGGCCGCUUGAAUGAUUCUUAAUAUAGUUUUAUAUUUUUAAAGGCAAUUAAUAAUGAAUGUGUGGAGAAAAAUAAAUAUUGUAUUGCAAAUUUAAUUAAAGAGGUAUUUUUCGAAGUUGGGCCAUCGAAAGUAGUACAUGUAAGGACCGAAAUUUUGACAGUGUAGCUAAACUCUCUGUUGACGAUAUUUUUGUGUGUAAUUUAAUUACAAAAGCAUUCGUCGAGUUUUGAAAGAAAACGAGUUAAAAUAGAGAUUCUACGCGAUUUCCAAGUUUCACUUAAAGUGAAUAGUAACUUGGUUUUUCGGAGAGCUCAAUGCGUAGCGGUGGCUUCUGGCUCGUACCGGACUCUGUUCAUAGCAGUCCAAUAGCUCGUUUCGACCGGUUUAGCUAUUCUGGAACUAAUGGCACUGACGGAUUUUGAGUUUGACGCACGAAUUUCGAGAAAAUCCAAAAAUACGUGUUUUAUAUGUAUUUGUGCGUAGUUCUUCUGUUGGAGAAAUGGAUCGGAUUUCGUCGUGAAUUUGCGACGGAUCGAGGCGAAACAAAAUUGUAGCUUUGUUGACUCUAUUGUGCUGAUCGUAGUGGUGUGAUCCGUUCGCAAAUCUGACGGGCGGAUCUGCGGAGAUUACGCGUUGAUCGAGGAGAGGUCGAUGAUGGCAAAACGGUAUUUUUGCAAAAGUUGCUAUAUUUUAUGUAUCGUUUCACAUGAAACCGGACAUGGAAGUGUGUUCGCGCAUUUUACACGUGCUGAGAAGGACUCAGUAUUAAAUACUGAGGUUUAGGGGGCUAACUCGCAAAGUUGCACCUUGGUAUAUAUAUAGCUCGUAGGGUUUUUGAUCCCCUAACCCUAACCCUAGCCCUAGCCGCACCUUGCCACCUUUUACUCCCUCCCUUGAGUGCACGACGCGCGCCCCAGCCGCCGGCGCACGCUGCCGGUCGUCGGAGAAGGAGGUUCCAUCUCCCUGUAGCUCCCUCUCCAUCUCUCUCUCCAUCUCUCUCUCUUUUCUUCUCAGUUUGGAGCCUUGGCCAAGGCUGCAUUGCCUCCCUGCACCUUGCCGUCGUCGCCCUGACACCGUCGGAGUUUCCCUCACCAGCCACGGCCUCCCCCGAGCGCUGCCGCCGCCGCCCCAGCACCCUGCUGCCAGCUAGGGCAGUUUUGGCCGAGCCGAACUCCAUCUGCUAGCCGCGCGCCGCCGCCGCCUGAGACCACCCUGGCCACCUUCCCCGGAGCUUAGACGACCACCCCUGGCCGGUCGCCGCCGCCCCUGCAGGCUGCCGUCGCCGCCCCAGCACCCUGCUGCCAGCUAGGGCAGUUUUGGCCGAGCUGAACUCCAUCUGCUAGCCACGCGCCGCCGCCGCCUGAGACCACCCCGGCCACCUUCCCCGGAGCUUAGGCGACNNNNNNNNNNNNNNNNNNNNNNGGCUGCCGUCGCCGCCUCGGCCAGCUCGCGGCCGCCCCAGCCUACUCGGGCCGAGCUGACCCGCCUUCUCUCCUCUCGCACCGCCGCCGCCCGGAGCCACCCGUCCCGCCUCCCGCCGACCUCAGGCGACCUACCGCCGCCGCCCCAUGGUGCACUGGCCGCCGUCGCUGCCGCCAUUGCUCUGGAACCCGAGCUUCAACUCGUCCGAGCUUGUCUCUUUCCACCGUCGCCGCCGCCGCUCCUCGCCGCCAACUGAGGUGAGCACCACACUCCCUACCUCCCCCGCACCCAUUCCUGGCCCGCACGCACCACGCCGUGCCGCCGAAAGCCGGCCGGAGCAAGCUUGCUCUGGCCAAGCCCAAAAUAGGGCUAUUCCUUGGCAGUUUGCUGUUCCGAGCUUCCCGAGCCUCCCUGAUCUCUACGGAAGGGAGCACGGUGAUCGUGGCAAAUUUAUGAUCAUCGUGCUCACCUUAGUUUUUGUCGUGGAGACUCUUUUCCGCUAUUUCGGCGGUGUCGCUCUGUUAGAGCCUUUUUGGCUGCUGUUUCAGGAUUAUGCACAUUUUUACGGCGAUCCGAGGCUGUUCCGAUGCCUUUGGAGGUGAGCACGGUGAUCAUGGAUCAGUGCUGAUCACAGUGCUCACCUUAUUUUGGAUCAGCGGAUGUCGUAUCAUUCUGUUUGGUGCAUUUUUCCCCGACUGCACGCUAUUGGCAGAAUUUUUGCGUUGCUCCCGCGCUUCCUACAGUGAGCUGUUGUGCUCCAGACCGUGAGCACGGCCUCCGGCAUGUCGAGACCUGUCAGUACGCUUCUCGGCGGAACUUAGAAGUCCUCGGUUUGUGAGAACGAGUCAUAGAAGUCGCCCGAUUUACAUAAAAUGAUGAAUUUUAUGUAAACAUAGGGACUUUUAUGCAUUUGUACACCUUAUGGCUACUGUGGGCAGUGCGUUGGUGUGUGUGGUGACCUUCAGACUGAUUGUCCAUGAUCUGAUAGCUUUUGCAGAAAUCGAAAAGUCGAUUUCGACGCGUUUUUCGGCGAAAUUCGCCGAAAGAACGCGAUUUUAGUUCGGAUUUCUUCCGACGUGGUUUCGUUAUCCUGUAAAUUAUUGCUGAGCCUUGUUGGCUUGUCACCAUCAUUAUUUUGUGGGUUCGGUGAUGAUGGGUGAGCAACGGUGGGUUCCGAUGUCGAAAUAGACACUUUCGGGAACCAGGAUUCGUACAAUUACCUGGUGAUAAUUGUGUAGUGGUGUUAUCUUGUGUUUACUGCCAAAACAUACAAAUCGGAGUGUUUUGGGGUAGCAGGUGACUCGUGACACGAGUCGGUGAGUUUCGGGACACUUAGUCGGUCCCGACGGCUUCCUGGUGUGGUUUUUGGGACUUUCGGUGAGUUACGGUGAUCGAUUUUGGAAAACCGAUUACGGGGAUCUUGUGUGGGGGGUUUGUGAAUCUCGUGCUGGUUUGGAUACUGACCUGGUGGAUCUUCUUAGGUCCGGUAGACGCUGUGCGUACCCAGUGUUCCGACACAACAGUGACAGGUGGGUGCUUCGAGCUGGUAGUCGGUGAGAUCGUUUCACCCUUCCUCUGUUCUUUCAUAUUAGUAUCGUAGUCUCUACAUGUCUUUGCUCUGAUUAUCAUUCGUAUAUCUUACUUUGUUGGUUGCAUUUUGUUAGUUGUUGAUGGACAUGUAGAGCAGGUUGCAUAUAUAUAUAUAUAUAUAUAUAUAUAUAUACUGUAUAUCUGUGGACCUUGGGUCCCGGCAACACAUCGACUUCUUUGUCGCGUGUUUCGAUCUGGUUGAUCGUGGUUCGGCGUUGUACACCCUUACACCUGGCUUCGGCCAAGGCACCGGUCUCUUUUUGUCGAUUUUCGUUUUGAGUAUAUCAGCAUGAUUUAGUCACAGCACUGUGUAUUCUAGACACCAGGUUUGUUUGGCCACCAACCAAGGGGUGUACGUAUCCGGAUAGGUCGUCGGUGACGCAUGAGUAAGUUGGCAGUGUCUGCUCUGUGAUAGGUAACGCUUGAGGUCUGCGGACUAAUAUAGCAGCAUCAGAUUGGGUUUGGUUUGGACUAUUUACCCUUGAGGCAUCCGAUCAGUUGAGUUUUUUGUUACAGUAGUAGUUUCGUUCUUACUCAGUUAUUAUCCUGUUUCUAUUACUACUGUAGUUGCUCUUAUAUCACAUCAUGCUCAUAUCUGUAGUUCUGUUUCAUAUCAGCAUAUAUAUUUGUUUAUCUAUCUUCUUUGGUUUCCGGUGAUUACGGUUUGCCUUCAUGGCUCUGUCGUACCGACUGGGAAACCAUGGUUGCGAUUUCUCACCCCCCAUUCCCCCCAGGUGAUAUGGACGAGGAGUUAGAUUUUGGGCUCGACGGGAGGACGAUCUAGCUAGUCGGCAGUUGUGACCGUCACCCUGGUUAUAUUUCUUCCCGCAUUUAGUAGUUGUUAAUAAUAAAUAGUUUAGUUAGAUGUUUGAAUGUUUGUGAUUUCCGUUAUGCAUGAUUAGAGACGUUGUGGAUCACUGGUUUUGGUUUUAUGGAUAUUAAGUUCUCGGAUUUGUGUAUUUAUACAUAUUUACGCAUCGUGGUUUUCUACCCCUCGAGGUAGUCGGUUUUCAAAAUAAAGUUUUCGUGUGGGAAACAGUUUUAAAAAGGUUUUCGAAUGAUUUGCAUGAAUGAAUGAAUUAGAGUUUAAAAACAAAAGCUUCCGUGUGGGGAGCACUUUUAAAUAGGAUGUUUGUUGUAUUGUGCAUUACAUUAUCCAGCGCCUAAGGAGUGCUUAGAGGCAUGCAUCAUCUCUAAGGAUCGUUAGUUAUAUGGAAAUACAUAUCAUGAAUUGGUUGUUGAUUGGUAAAUGUAGGUUGUGGUUGAGAUCCUGUUGUAUAGUUGGUAUGCCGUGCAAAUACAAAGGAGACUCUGUCCGAGUGGAUAGAGGAACUUUGUAUUUGUGGCGGAUCUGUACGUCACGUGGGCCAGGUUUAAAAAAAAAAAAAAUUUGGCACAUCUUCCGCAACUCUGUUUCAAAAUGGUAAUGAAUUUUUAAAAAGGCUUUUAAAAUCGGCCCCGGGGUGUGACAGAUUAAGAUGGUAUCAGAGCGUGAAACAACUACAACUGCAUUUACAAGUUUUCUAACUGAACCACUGGUUAGGUUGACCCAUAGGAAGACCUAAGGUAUAUAGGCACGUGAGUGCGGUUUUGGGUUUGAGUCCCGGUGAGUUUGUAUGUCGAGUCGUUUGGUUUGCUUGACGGUGUUUUCUGUUGCAGAUGGCUCGUGGUAGGCCCCCUCGUCCGGGUCGUGGUGGUGGACGCGUCGGUGCGGAAACGCCCGGCAGUACUCGUGCUCCUCCGAGUGGGGGUGUUGGGGAGCAGUUGGGCGCGGAGCCGCUGAGUGGUACUCGGACUCAGCAGCUCGAGGCCCAGGUAGCUGAUUUGAGGGGUCAGCUGGCGACCCUCUCUGGUUUGUUUCAGCAGUUCUUGCAGCAGCAGGCUGCGGCUACUGCUACCCCGGUCCCACCUUCGGCACAGGACACUCCGGUGAACGCGGAUCCUCCCGCAACGCACGCGCCUGCCGUAGCUCCAGCCGUGACUACCACGACGACGACGGCCACCACGACAGUUUUCGCUGGGGGUACUGAUACCCCUGCAACGGAAGGCGCCCGCAUUAGGGCAAGGCUGGUGGAGUUUCG
Molecule: long non-coding RNA, 39345 nt
Filed under: Ananas comosus (pineapple)
Lineage: Eukaryota; Viridiplantae; Streptophyta; Magnoliopsida; Poales; Bromeliaceae
Description: long non-coding RNA (ACOM_LNC023977)
Source: RNAcentral